GCUAAAUCCUAGCACAUGUAAGUCAUCUUUUUUCCCUUUCUUUUGCUCUUUACACAGGUCCUCUGAGGGUCAGAGAGGAAGGAGCAGGGACAGGAAGAGGGGAGAUUCAGAGGAUUCCCCAAAAUGCAACAUUUCAAGGACUUCCUGAGCUACACUUUGCAUCUAAGCUCUCACCCUCUUAUAUUAUAGCCUCAAACCCCUCCAGAGAAGAAUCAAUGCAAGUUCUACCUUACUGUCAAGGGACACUUAGUCACAGAACAAGCCAAACUCUGGGAGAAGUGUGAAAAUGAAGUCUGAAGGUGCUCUGAGAUGGGAAGUGUUGAGCAGCUCAUGAGCAGCAUGCAGGUGGUGAGAGACUCUUCUCAGCACAACAUGGCGUGAGCAUUGCCAGCCCAUAGGAAUUAAUGCAAAGAAAACUGAAAUUAUAACAAAAGUCACUUUUCCUCCCUCAAUGACUUGAGCAUUUAGAUUGUGAAGCAUAAUCCUUCACAAACUCUCAGACCUGCACUUCCACAGGGCGGGAGUGUGCUUGUCACAGUUAGUUAUCUGUCAAAGUACAGGCUGGGCACAGGGAAACUGGAGAAAAGCUGAACUGAGGAAUGUUACUUGAGAAGUGCCCUGGUUUGUACUUGUGUUUCCACAGAGCUAGUUGACAGAGUUGUGCUAGAGUUCUGGUAAAGGAAAAACAGAUGAGUUUUCAACUUGCAAUCCAUAUGGUCAUCACUUUCUCAUACCCUUAAUUAGAAAGCCUCUUGCCAGAAAAUUAAAAAACUCUAAAAAACUUUGCUGCAAAUGUACAAUGCUUAAACCAGGUACAUUAAUAAGGCUUGAUACCAGCUCUAGCAAGAAGCCCUGGUAAGCAAUUAACUGUGAGACAGAGAGGAAGUCCCCUUAUAUGCAUUAAUUUACUCAUAGUCCUGUUAGGUCCAUUGACACUUUACUAAAAGCUGUGAAUUGAUUUCCUUGAACCAUACAAUAGGCUCUGUGCCCCAAAUGUAAAAAAAAUAUAGAUAACACAUGAUUUGUUCAAAUUGUGUUAACCCUUAAGUCCUCAGGGCAACCAGAACUGAAGUUGCACAUCAAGUUGAAGCCUUACGUGCUGCACUCUUUCUCACUUCAAAAUAUUUCUGUCUCUCUUUGGAAGGUGAUUUAGAAAUGCAGGAAUCACUCCAGGAAUUUAAAUUGCAUACCAAAAAGUCCAAUAAUUCUCUUGCUUCUUUAACAAGAUUGAACAUUUGAUAAAAUUGUGUAAAAGAAUAUAUUAUAUUUGAGUUCUUCCUAUAAUUCCAGAUAAUAGUACAUGGCCACAGUUAAUUUGCCAGAUUUGAAUUGCAUAAGGCACACAUGAAAUGAAAACUCCUGCUGAAAUUAGUGGA
Molecule: long non-coding RNA, 1376 nt
Organism: Passer domesticus (house sparrow)
Lineage: Eukaryota; Metazoa; Chordata; Aves; Passeriformes; Passeridae
Exons: 3
Source: RefSeq, a predicted model, not a curated record